This 440-nucleotide ribosomal RNA is filed under the name uncultured bacterium. Its description in RNAcentral is "partial 16S ribosomal RNA". It matches the Rfam family "Bacterial small subunit ribosomal RNA", at positions 338 to 795 of the family's 1533-position model. The record is from RNAcentral.
CCUACGGGUGGCAGCAGUGGGGAAUAUUGCACAAUGGGGGAAACCCUGAUGCAGCGACGCCGCGUGAGUGAAGAAGUAAUUCGUUACGUAAAGCUCUAUCAGCAGGGAAGAAAAUGACGGUACCUGAGUAAGAAGCCCCGGCUAACUACGUGCCAGCAGCCGCGGUAAUACGUAGGGGGCAAGCGUUAUCCGGAUUUAUUGGGUUUAAAGGGAGCGUAGGCCGGCUUUUAAGUCAGCUGUGAAAGUCCGCGGCUCAACCGUGGAAUUGCAGUUGAAACUGGAGGCCUUGAGUGCACACAGGGAUGCCGGAAUUCAUGGUGUAGCGGUGAAAUGCUUAGAUAUCAUGAAGAACUCCGAUCGCGAAGGCAAGUGUCCGGGGUGCAACUGACGCUGAGGCUCGAAAGUGCGGGUAUCAAACAGGAUUAGAUACCCCGGUAGUC